Molecule: ribosomal RNA, 454 nt
Filed under: Entrophospora etunicata
Lineage: Eukaryota; Fungi; Glomeromycota; Glomeromycetes; Entrophosporales; Entrophosporaceae
Description: LSU rRNA
Rfam family: Eukaryotic large subunit ribosomal RNA
Source: RNAcentral
GGAAAGAUGAAAAGAACUUUGAAAAGAGAGUUAAACAGUACGUGAAAUUGUUGAAAGGGAAACGAUUGAAGUCAGUCGUGCUGGCGCGAAAUCAACCCUCUCGUCUUGAGAUCACAUGGCGCGACGAGCCUCAAAACCGUCACGAAGCGUGAACUCUUGACGAAAAGGUGCACUUUCGUGUCCGCUGGUUAACAUCAAUUUCGAACGUCAUAAAAAGGCUGGAGGGAUGUGGCUCCUUCGGGAGUGUUAUAACCUUUAGCGGAAUGUGGUGUUCGGGAUUGAGGAUUGCAACGAAUACCUUCGGGGCUGUUCCACCUGGCUUCUCAUUGGUAUCCUGGUGACGACAGCUUGCUGACGUCGUUAGGAUCAGCUUCUGAACAGGCUAGAGUGUGAGCAAAUUCGUUAAGGAUGUUAACGUAAUGGCUUUAAACGACCCGUCUUGAAACACGGACCA